CUCAAACGCUGUCCUCAUUUUGGCCAGGACUGAUGGAAGGCCAGAUCCCAAAGAUCCCUGAAGACAGGAACAGUCUUUCAUCUUCAGCAUCGAGCCUGAUGCCUGGCACACGCUUCUACUUAUGGUCCAGUGGAAUGACAGAUGAAGGAAAAGUUUGGAAUUUCAGAACCAUCUGGAAAUGUUCUGCUCUAGGCAGAAGAGCUGGACUGCAGCAAAGGCUCUGAAUGUGGAAUCAA
Molecule: long non-coding RNA, 236 nt
Organism: Homo sapiens (human)
Lineage: Eukaryota; Metazoa; Chordata; Mammalia; Primates; Hominidae
Exons: 3
Source: RefSeq, a predicted model, not a curated record